UUAGCCUUUGCCAAUACCACUGAUGGCGACCGGCGGCACGGGUGCGUAACGCGUAUGUAACUUAGCCUUAUGCAGGAGGAAUAACCCGAACGUAAAUUACGGCCUAACUACUCCACUAAGUGUCAGAGAGGCAUCUUUCGGGCAUGAAAGAUUUAUCGGCAUAAGAUAGACAUGCGUGACAUUAGCUAGUCGGUGAGGUAACGGCUCACCGAGGCGACGAUGUCUAGGGGUUCUGAGAGGAAGGUCCCCCACCACUGGUACUGAGACACGGACCAGACUCCUACGGGAGGCAGCAGUGAGGAAUAUUGGUCAAUGGACGGAAGUCUGAACCAGCCAUGCCGCGUGCAGGAUGACGGCUCUAUGAGUUGUAAACUGCUUUUGUACGAGAAUAAUAGUUCUUACGUGUAGGGAUUUGAAUGUAUCGUACGAAUAAGGAUCGGCUAACUCCGUG
This 451-nucleotide ribosomal RNA is filed under the name uncultured Rikenella sp. Its description in RNAcentral is "bacterial SSU rRNA". It matches the Rfam family "Bacterial small subunit ribosomal RNA", at positions 63 to 507 of the family's 1533-position model. The record is from RNAcentral. Lineage: Bacteria; Pseudomonadati; Bacteroidota; Bacteroidia; Bacteroidales; Rikenellaceae.